AGAAAAUCCAAGCUGGUUAAUUUUUGCUACGUGGAUUUAAAUGCAGAAUGUGGGGUGCCUGGACCUCCCCAGCCUCACUAAGGAGAGGCUCCUCUGCUGACGCCGUGGCCGUUUGUUCAGCGCUGGGCUGAAAGGGAGUCACGUAGCAGUGGAUUAUUUUUUCCUAGAGGCUUCUCAGCUUUCCAGGAGAAGAAUCCUGAGCAAAGGGAGUUUUCUAGAAAAUAUGAAUGUGAUACCAGGCACCCGCACCUCCUGGACUGCUUCCUGUGACCAUGUCAGAAACCCAUGACAGCUCCUUUCACCUGCUCUGCAGAACACAGGGGUUGCCUUGUGGAACUAACAGAAUUGUUGUUGUCAUAGAUGGGACCCCACACAGGCAGAUUGCUGCUGCAAGGAGAAACUUUGAUUAUUUCCAAAUGACUGGGCAAAAGAACCUGCUUGACCCCCUCCUUCCUGACAGCUCUUGCAAAGAACAUCUCUGUCAGAAGCCCAGAAGAGUCUGCUGAGAGGGGCUCAGCCUCUGUACAGUGGAUGGAAAAUCCAGAUCUUGGAGCCUGGCUUGCAGAAAGGAGCUACUCAUUGCAGAUGGAACCCACAGUGCUGCAUUGCUGAGCUAAGAGCUCCUUGGCUGUUAAGUUUUCCAGUAAUUUUCCCAGGUAAAUGAUGCA
Onychostruthus taczanowskii (white-rumped snowfinch) is the source of this 668-nucleotide long non-coding RNA. RefSeq lists it as uncharacterized. Lineage: Eukaryota; Metazoa; Chordata; Aves; Passeriformes; Passeridae. The record is from RefSeq and is a predicted model, not a curated record. The transcript has 3 exons.